UAACUUCAAUCCUGCCUGCUGCUAAGCGCGCCUGGGGCCUCUCCCUCUGGGUGCUCGGCAGGAGGAUAAAGCGCUGCCCCCUGGCUCUCCGCGACCCGGGACUUGAGCCCCCUUGCUGCGCUCUGCCCCCUCUGCCGGAGGGAGGCGGCCGGUCUCCGCUCUGGGGGCCCCUGCUCUCCGUCCGUGCGAUGGGCCCGAAGCCGGGCGGUGACGGGACGCCUCAGGGAGGGGCCCCGUGGGUCGGCUUCGCCUCCGUGACCCCAAGGGGACGAGGCCGGGUCCUGGCCCUGCGCCCCCCACCCCCUGGGAGGCGGCGGGCAGAGGAGAGCAGGCCGCGGGGGGCGGGGGCGGGCGGCAGGACGAGGCCGCACUUCUGGUCCGAGUUCUUUCUUUUUUUAAAAUCAGCGCAGUUGAACGCCAGGCUCCGCCCUCCAUCCGGCGCCUGCCACGUGGGCCGCCCGGCAGCCGCCCCUGUCCCCCGGCCCUCCUGGGGCUGGCCCGGCGGGCUGAGGCUUCGGUUUCACUUUGCUGUCACCGGACUUCACUUUCGGGCAGAGCCACAGCGGCGGAACGAGGGGUGGAGAGAGCACGGGGCGGCCGUCAGCUGCUGGACGUCUGGACUGUUUCCAGCCCGGGCUACCGUGAAUCAUGCUGCUGUGAACGAGGGCAGGUGUUGAGGUGACCAAAACAAAGUGUUGAUGAGAGCGUGUCCGCCCACAGUGAGUGAUAUUCGGGGACCCUGCGUUUUGUGGGGUGAGGGGCACCCAGGGGAGGUGCCCUGGCACCCAGGCUCUCCAGGUCUCUGCUGGGCUCCGGGGAACCCCUUCCCUGCCCUCUAGGUUGGCCCGGCCGUGAACCCGGAAGGUCCCCGCUGAGGACACCAGAGGCUCCCGGAACCUCAGGGGCUGGCGGACACAGGGCAGGGGCCAGGCGGGCCGGAAAGCGGUCCCUUCCCUGUAAGGCAGAGGGUUGCAGGGCUAUGAGAGAGACAGAGCAUGAACGGGCGAGGGGCAGAGAGAGAGGGAGACACAGAAUCGGAAACAGGCUCC
Felis catus (domestic cat) is the source of this 1049-nucleotide long non-coding RNA. RefSeq lists it as uncharacterized. NCBI's taxonomy places the organism in Eukaryota, Metazoa, Chordata, Mammalia, Carnivora, Felidae. The transcript has 3 exons. The record is from RefSeq and is a predicted model, not a curated record.